This 260-nucleotide ribosomal RNA is filed under the name uncultured bacterium. RNAcentral describes it as "partial 16S ribosomal RNA". It matches the Rfam family "Bacterial small subunit ribosomal RNA", at positions 524 to 776 of the family's 1533-position model. The record is from RNAcentral.
UACGUAGGGCGCAAGCGUUGUCCGGAAUUAUUGGGCGUAAAGAGCUCGUAGGCGGUUUGUCGCGUCUGCUGUGAAAACCUGAGGCUCAACCUCGGGCUUGCAGUGGGUACGGGCAGACUAGAGUGCGGUAGGGGGUGACUGGAAUUCCUGGUGUAGCGGUGGAAUGCGCAGAUAUCAGGAGGAACACCGAUGGCGAAGGCAGGUCACUGGGGCCGCAAACUGACGCUGGAGGAGCGGAAAAGCAUGGGGGAGCGAACAGG